UACGGAGGGUGCGAGCGUUGUCCGGAAUCUGAUUGGGCGUGAAAGGGCGCGUAGGCUGGCCCCUCAAGCGUGGCGGUGAAAGGUCAGGGCUCAACCCCUGAUCGGCCGUGCGAACUGGGGAGCUUGAGCACUGUAGAGGCAGGCGGAAUUCCGGGUGUAGCGGUGGAAUGCGUAGAGAUCCGGAAGAACACCGGUGGCGAAGGCGGGUCUCUGGGCAGUAACUGACGCUGAGGAGCGAAAGCGUGGGGAGCGAACAGG
RNAcentral lists this ribosomal RNA (258 nucleotides) under uncultured bacterium. Its description in RNAcentral is "partial 16S ribosomal RNA". It matches the Rfam family "Bacterial small subunit ribosomal RNA", at positions 524 to 776 of the family's 1533-position model. The record is from RNAcentral.